RNA transcript from Hemicordylus capensis (graceful crag lizard), 4613 nucleotides. It is a transcript of the gene named 6-phosphofructo-2-kinase/fructose-2,6-biphosphatase 2, with no coding region annotated. The transcript has 19 exons. The record is from RefSeq and is a predicted model, not a curated record. NCBI's taxonomy places the organism in Eukaryota, Metazoa, Chordata, Lepidosauria, Squamata, Cordylidae.
UGUUGGGUGGCGUUUCUACGCGGAAGCGUGUAUAUGCGCAUGGUAUCUAUAUUUUCAAGUCUAGAGAAAGCAAGAGCUAUCCUGUCCCUUACCGGCGGCGGACACACAAAUAACCAGUGAUUUUGUGAUGCCUUACAGACGAAUAGAUAUAUUGUAGUAGGCUACACUUUAACUGACUAGAAUCCAAGAAGCUUUUGUUGCAAUGCACUGGUUGAUCUUGAAGGAGUCUGGCAAUCCAAAACUGAGGAGGUGUGUACCUUGCAGCAAUGUCAGGGGAUACAACGCCAGUCCUAGACCAGGUAAACGGCAACAGUUAUAGCCAAGAAAACAAGCUGUCAAAUCUACGAGCCUCAGAGAAGAAGUGCUCUUGGGCCUCUUAUAUGACCAACUCCCCUACUCUGAUUGUAAUGAUUGGCCUUCCAGCAAGAGGCAAAACCUAUGUGUCCAAGAAAUUAACUCGCUACCUCAACUGGAUUGGAGUGCCUACAAAAGUGUUUAAUCUAGGGGUAUAUCGUCGUGAAGCAGUAAAAUCAUACAAGUCGUAUGAUUUCUUCAGACAUGAUAAUGAAGAAGCCAUGAGGAUUCGAAAGCAAUGUGCCUUGGUAGCUCUUGAGGAUGUGAAAGCUUAUCUCAUGGAGGAGAAUGGCCAGAUUGCUGUUUUUGAUGCAACCAACACAACCCGAGAGAGGCGGGACAUGAUUUUAAUGUUUGCUAAAGAAAAUUCUUUUAAGGUGUUUUUUGUUGAAUCUGUCUGUGAUGAUCCAGAAGUCAUUGCUGCCAAUAUAUUGGAGGUGAAGGUCUCCAGCCCUGAUUACCCAGAGAGAAACCGAGAGAAUGUGAUGGAUGAUUUCCUGAAGCGAAUAGAGUGCUAUAAAGUCACCUAUCAGCCUCUUGAUCCAGUUAAUUAUGACAAAGAUCGUUCUUUCAUUAAAGUGAUUAAUGUGGGGCAACGCUUCCUUGUCAAUCGCGUUCAGGAUUACAUCCAAAGCAAAAUUGUCUAUUACCUCAUGAACAUUCAUGUUCAGCCACGCACCAUCUACCUUUGUAGACAUGGUGAGAGUGAGUGCAACCUUCUCAGCAAGAUUGGCGGGGACUCAGGCCUGUCAACACGAGGGAAGCAGUUUGCUCAAGCACUGAAAGAGUUCAUCAAAGAGCAGGAGAUUGUGGAUCUGAAAGUUUGGACUAGCCAACUGAAAAGAACAAUUCAGACGGCCGAGGCCCUGGGGGUACCAUACGAGCAGUGGAAGAUAUUGAACGAGAUUGAUGCUGGUGUAUGUGAAGAAAUGACCUAUGAACAGAUUCAGAGAAAGUACCCAGAGGAGUUUGCACUUCGUGAUCAAGAGAAAUACCUUUAUCGCUAUCCUGGAGGAGAAUCUUACCAGGAUCUGGUCCAGCGCUUGGAACCUGUGAUUAUGGAACUGGAGCGUCAGGGAAAUGUCCUAGUUAUUUGUCACCAGGCAGUCAUGAGGUGCUUACUGGCCUAUUUCCUUGAUAAGAGUGCAGAUGAGCUGCCCUAUCUGAGGUGCCCUCUUCAUACCGUCCUUAAACUCACACCAGUUGCUUAUGGCUGUAAACUGGAAAUGAUCUCCCUGAAUGUUGAAGCUGUAGACACGCACCGAGACAAGUCAUUCACUGCAACAAACAACCUUCCAAAGAGCCAAACCCCUAUAAGGAUGAGGAGGAACAGCUUUACACCACUAGCCAGUCCGGACACAGUAAAGCGUCCUCGCAAUUACAGUGUUGGGAGCAAGCCUCUCAACCCAGCAGGGUCACUGCUAUUCCUGGAGGCUCAAGAUGGGGCUCAUCAACAGAAGCUGCAAGACAGUGUUCAGCUUCAAGUGAGAAGUGCUUGCCUGAAGCUGGUGGAGACUACUAAUAAGAGGGCAACAGAGAGCUGUGAAUUAGUUCCAGGAAUAGUGGAAGAAAUUUGCUGCAGCAAUGGGGAGGGGAUGGAAUUCUUGAGACAGGAUGCUGAAGUAACUUGAUCCAGGAUCUUGAAAUACACCCAGAGAGGACAGUUGAACAGUGCAUAAGUACAACCAGAGUGCACAGGCAAAAAACGGCUGGCCUAGCAAAGUAGAAGUAUCUCGUUUGUGUUAUUGAAAAUCAUCAUGGAGGCCUAAGAAAUGCUUUGAAAUGGAACCCUUCUAUUUGAUCAAAAGUCUGUGAAACACCUUUCUCAAGGGUUUUAAAACAUGGCGGGCCACCUAGCUUUCUGGACCAAGAAGUGCUGUCUAAGCUCUCUAAAAUAGCGUCAAAAACUCUCAUUGUGUUUGAUGUUACAACACCUGCACCUAGCAUAAGCUCACUUUGAACUUCUCAAGUUCUAAUGAUGUACUUCUAGAACGAUUUAAAACUUUAUUGUAACUUAAAGCAUAUUUAUGCUACGAAGCUAAACCAACUUUAAUUUUUUUGUCACAACACCAAAACUCAAAGCUCUGGGAAAUGUUCUAUAAAACAAAAUGCAAAGGCUCUGUAUCAGUGUAGUAUCAGCACUCCCAGAAUAUCUCAGUUCCAAGAAUUCUUGGAGGAAAGCUUUAACAGUUAAACUGGUUUCCCACUGAUAUAAAUUUGUAUUGUAGAUGAGGUUUGAGACACUUUGAGUUUCUCCCUCACCCCUUUUUCUCCCCUCCCCAGCCCCCAAUCUAGACUACUGUACUGCUUAGGGAAGUUCUUCCUCCUAGACUGAGAAUUGCUGUCUUGGAGGUUAUUGAGUCUUUGCUAGUUCAAAGGCAACCUCCUGCCAAGCCUUCCUCCAUUUGACUGUGUGCUGUUCUAGUGGCUGCAGUGUGGGCUGUGGCAAUUCUCUCAGUUCUCCUGUACAAGUGCAGUUUUACAAAAUGCUUUGGUCGCUGGAGCGCCGCACACUCACACACCAGAAUCUGAAGGUUCUUGCACAACUGUGCUCACACAGGGAAACAGAGGGAGGUGCACAAGGACUCCUGCAGCCCCUAGAAGUGUGAGCACUUUGUUAGGAUAUCAGCCCCUGUUUUCAAUAUUACUCCAAUGGACAGCUCUCAGGUCCUCAUCCUUGUGGUGAGCCAUUAGUUGUUGUUUUUUUUUAGAGAACAAAGGGAAAAUUAAGUUGGCUCUGCUAGAUCUGUUUUCAAAAAACCCGAGGAAAACCAAGAUGUAAUGGACUCCAGAACACUACUGCUAGCUAACGUUCCGGAGGUAUUUGUCCAUGUUGAUAGAAAUAGUAGUCUGAGAUGGGCAAUUAGUUUUAAAUUAUAAGGCAACUCCUUUAAUGCAUAAUCAGUUGAAUAUGUAAGUGCACUAACUGAGCAAUGUAUCAGCUAUACUUACGGGGGAACUACAAUAUGUUUCGACUUCUGCUGUUCACAUUGCUUGAUCACUAUUAGCAUUUUUACCCCCACUUAAGCAAAUAAAAACUGGAGUGGGAAUAAGGUGUUUUUUUAAAAAACAUAAUGUGCAAAUUAUACCAGGAUUUCAGGGUAUCUGCUAAGUGCAACUGCUAUGUGUGUGUGGGUAGCAGCAGCAGAACGUUCUGUAUAUACACGGAAAAACAAAGAGGCCCUAGUAUUUCAGUUGUACAACUUUGAACAUAUUUUUUCAAAUGAUUUUCAGUUUCCUACUGAAAUAAAUCUAAGUUCUGUGUUUGGCACACCACUGUCAGCUCUCUGAUGGUAGGGUGGAUAGUCUCAUUUUUAAGGCAUACCACCUGCCCUCCUGGUUGGAGCUCUGGAGUUUUCCUGUAAUCUGGUGCAAGAAAUGUGAUAGUUCACACACAUUGGCUCAGAAAUAAUUGGUGAGGUGGUGGGGGAAGAAACCAUCCUUAAGCUUCCCCCAGUCUUUUCUUUCCCAAGUCCUGCAAAGAGAUAGUACAUAUCCCAUAUUCAAUGGAUUUGAGAAGGUUACAUAACUGGGCUUAAGUUCAUUACCUUGAUUUCUGCUGACUGAGCCUGUCAUAAAACUCAUGGGUACUCAGGAGUAAGUCCUUUCAGGUAAGCUUACAUAUAGAAUUGCAGCCUUAGUGUAUACAUGUUUGUAAAACAAAAAUUUAGUGAAAAGCCCACAAAAUGAGGAAAUGCUUUUGGAGUGCCUUUAGUACCCCAUGGUCACGUUCUAGUGUAACGUUUCCAUGAAUUAAAAUAGCACAUGUUGCAUCUACGCACAAUACACCACUAUAAAUUUUUGCACAAUGUUAUUCGUUCAUGUUAAUGUUAUGAGCCCCUGCUUGCAUUAAUAUAUAUAUAUUUUUUGUAUGCCAAGACAUAUGAAUGUGACUACUUAUAUAUGAGCAAUUUUAUUUUCUUAAUUAAUAAUAAUAACUUCUGUAAUAUACUCAUCUUCUAAUGUUGGACAUGGGUUGGAACUGGAUGUGAUCAAUCCACUCCAUAUGUCACCAUUGAGCCUGUGAUGGCAAGAUGCUUGUUGGUCAGAGGUGUCUGAAUGCUGCAUUACGUAUCUCUAAAGCUAGUAUUAUUGUGAGUAAUGUGUUGUUGCCUUCAAUUCAGAAUGCAAACUAUGUGUUUCUGUAAGCACAGGCAUUUAGUAAUUGAUUGUUAAAGUGCAAUACCAUGCUGACCUUGGUUGUUUCCAAUGGUUACUCCUGCUCAGUGCCUGAAUAAUAAAAUAAAUUAUGGAAUGUA